RNAcentral lists this ribosomal RNA (957 nucleotides) under Chryseobacterium sp. RNAcentral describes it as "bacterial SSU rRNA". It matches the Rfam family "Bacterial small subunit ribosomal RNA", at positions 61 to 1020 of the family's 1533-position model. Lineage: Bacteria; Pseudomonadati; Bacteroidota; Flavobacteriia; Flavobacteriales; Weeksellaceae. The record is from RNAcentral.
GCCGAGCGGUAGAGAUCUUUCGGGAUCUUGAGAGCGGCGUACGGGUGCGGAACACGUGUGCAACCUGCCUUUAUCUGGGGGAUAGCCUUUCGAAAGGGAGAUUAAUACCCCAUAAUAUAUUGAGUGGCAUCACUUAAUAUUGAAAACUCCGGUGGAUAGAGAUGGGCACGCGCAAGAUUAGAUAGUUGGUGAGGUAACGGCUCACCAAGUCUGCGAUCUUUAGGGGGCCUGAGAGGGUGAUCCCCCACACUGGUACUGAGACACGGACCAGACUCCUACGGGAGGCAGCAGUGAGGAAUAUUGGACAAUGGGUGCAAGCCUGAUCCAGCCAUCCCGCGUGAAGGACGACGGCCCUAUGGGUUGUAAACUUCUUUUGUAUAGGGAUAAACCUAGAUACGUGUAUCUAGCUGAAGGUACUAUACGAAUAAGCACCGGCUAACUCCGUGCCAGCAGCCGCGGUAAUACGGAGGGUGCAAGCGUUAUCCGGAUUUAUUGGGUUUAAAGGGUCCGUAGGCGGAUUUGUAAGUCAGUGGUGAAAUCUCACAGCUUAACUGUGAAACUGCCAUUGAUACUGCAAGUCUUGAGUGUUGUUGAAGUAGCUGGAAUAAGUAGUGUAGCGGUGAAAUGCAUAGAUAUUACUUAGAACACCAAUUGCGAAGGCAGGUUACUAAGCAACAACUGACGCUGAUGGACGAAAGCGUGGGGAGCGAACAGGAUUAGAUACCCUGGUAGUCCACGCCGUAAACGAUGCUAACUCGUUUUUGGGCUUUCGGGUUCAGAGACUAAGCGAAAGUGAUAAGUUAGCCACCUGGGGAGUACGAACGCAAGUUUGAAACUCAAAGGAAUUGACGGGGGCCCGCACAAGCGGUGGAUUAUGUGGUUUAAUUCGAUGAUACGCGAGGAACCUUACCAAGGCUUAAAUGGGAAAUGACAGGCUUAGAAAUAGGCUUUUCUUCG